UACAGAGGUCUCAAGCGUUGUUCGGAUUCAUUGGGCGUAAAGGGUGCGUAGGCGGUCGGGUAAGUCUGCUGUGAAAUCCCGCAGCUCAACUGCGGAACUGCAUUGGAAACUAUCCGACUAGAGGAAUGGAGGGGAGACUGGAAUUCUCGGUGUAGCAGUGAAAUGCGUAGAUAUCUGGAGGAACACCGGUGGCGAAGGCGGCAUCCUGGACCAAUUCUGACGCUGAGGAGCGAAAGCCAGGGGAGCAACCGGG
RNAcentral lists this ribosomal RNA (253 nucleotides) under uncultured prokaryote. RNAcentral describes it as "partial 16S ribosomal RNA". It matches the Rfam family "Bacterial small subunit ribosomal RNA", at positions 524 to 776 of the family's 1533-position model. The record is from RNAcentral.